Molecule: transfer RNA, 80 nt
Filed under: Streptomyces aurantiacus JA 4570
Lineage: Bacteria; Bacillati; Actinomycetota; Actinomycetes; Kitasatosporales; Streptomycetaceae
Rfam family: tRNA
About the family: Transfer RNA (tRNA) molecules are approximately 80 nucleotides in length. Their secondary structure includes four short double-helical elements and three loops (D, anti-codon, and T loops). Further hydrogen bonds mediate the characteristic L-shaped molecular structure. tRNAs have two regions of fundamental functional importance: the anti-codon, which is responsible for specific mRNA codon recognition, and the 3' end, to which the tRNAs corresponding amino acid is attached (by aminoacyl-tRNA synthetases). tRNAs cope with the degeneracy of the genetic code in two manners: having more than one tRNA (with a specific anti-codon) for a particular amino acid; and 'wobble' base-pairing, i.e. permitting non-standard base-pairing at the 3rd anti-codon position.
Source: Rfam by way of RNAcentral
GCCCCCGUUGUGUAGCGGCCUAGCACGCCGCCCUCUCAACUCUCAAGGCGGUAGCGCCGGUUCGAAUCCGGUCGGGGGUA